AUGGGAGUUUGCCUGACCACCAACCCAGUGGCCUGGAGACUAGCAACUGGAGUUCAUUACAAAACACCUAAGGGGCCCCGGGCCAGGGGCGACACACGGCCGUUGUUGGAGACCACCCUGGGGACAGCAUUGGUGACAGGGGCCUCCUGCUGAGCCAGGACUGCCCCAGAAGCCUGCUCAGGUGCUGUCCACUCCCCCUGGCCUGGGGCCCUCACCCGGAGCUCCCCCUCUGAGGUGGCAAGACACACAACUCACACGCAGAGAAUCCAUCACUCUCGAAUCUCUUUACUCCAGGGCAUAAUUGCUCUUUCAGGUCAGUUGGAUAUCUAGGGGGAGGGGGAAGAUGGAAAACAUGGAACAUUAAGGGAGGUGGGGACUGGAGGAGCCUCAGAUUAGGUGGGGGUGGGGGCGCUGGUAACUCAGGGUGUUUUUCUUUCUUUCUUUCUCUCUAACAGAAAAUUCCAUUGUCAGAUCCCCAGCAGCACAGAGGGUCUGUGUCCCGGCUUUCCCGACCCCCAUGUCAGUCCCGGCCCCGCCCGGUGGCCCUCGGAGGACAAGUUCAGGAUGCGUGUGAAGCCCCAGGGCCUGGUGGUGACCUCCAGUGCCGUGUGCAGCUCGCCCGACUACCUCCGGGAGCCCAACCUGGCCAACAGCAUCAGAAGCCCGGAGGAGCGGAAUACCACCCAUGGCAAGGCUGAGAGACCCGGGCGAGCCCUCUAUGAGGCAGAGCCUGAGCAGAGGGGCAGCCCUGAGCCAGGCCAGGGCACGAGCCCCGGAGCCGCCACCGGCCUCCCCCAGGAACCAGAGCCCGACGCUCCCGACUACUCCGAGCUGGCCGACGCAGACAUCCUCAGCGAGCUGGCCUCCCUUGCUUGCCCUGAGGCGCAGCUGCUGGAGGCCCAGGCCCUGGAGCCUCCGUCCCCAGAGCCCGAACCUCAGCUCCUUGACCAGCAGCCCCGCUUCCUGGAUCCCCAGGUGCUGGAACCUCUCGGGGAAGCGCUCGAGUUGCCGCCUCUCCAACCACUGGCUGACCCCCUGGGGUUGCCUGGCCUAGCCCUGCAGGCCCUGGAGACAUUGCCAGAUGCCCUCGAGUCUCAGCUGCUUGACCCCCAGAGCCUCGACCCUCUGCCUAAGCUGCUUGAGGCCCCAAGCCACCACCUGGAAACGCAGCCACCCCUGGCCAGCUGUCCACUGACUGAGCCCCUGCGGCUGGACCUGUGCCCUCCCCGAGGGCCUCUGGGGACUGAGGGCCACCCCAAGUACGCCCUGCGGCGGACUGAUAAGCCAAAGAUUUUGUGCCGCCGCCGCAAGGCGGGCCGGGGCAGGAAGGCAGAUGCCUGUCCUGAAGGUCGCCUCCUGCCCCUCCCCAUGCCUGCGGGCCUGGUGGCCGCCUUGGCAGAACCUGUGCCACCCCCACCGACCAUUGUCCCGGUCCCUACCCCAGAGCCGGAUACUGGGGCCCCUCGCCCCCUCGUGCCCACCCGGAAGGGCAAGUGCCGGGGAGUGCGCCGGAUGGUGGUGAAGAUGGCCAAAAUCCCCGUGUCCCUGGGGCGGCGGAACAAGACCACGUACAAGGUGUCGUCCCUGAGCAGCAGCCUGAACGUGGAGGGCAAGGAGCUGGGGGUGCGGGUGUCGGCCGAGCCCACCCCGCUCCUGAAGAUGAAGAACAAUGGGCGCAACGUGGUCGUGGUGUUCCCGCCGGGCGAGAUGCCCAUCAUCCUGAAGCGCAAGAGGGGCCGUCCCCCCAAGAACCUCCUGCUGGGCCCGGGGAAGCCCAAGGAACCUACUCCGGAGGUGAAGAAGCGGCGGAGGCGGAAGCAGAAGCUGGCCUCGCCCCAGCCCUCCUACGCGGCCGACGCCAACGACAGCAAGGCCGACUACUCGGACGUGCUGGCCAAGCUGGCCUUCCUGAACCGCCAGAGCCAGUGUGCAGGCCGCUGCUCCCCACCCCGCUGCUGGACCCCCAGCGAGCCGGAGUCGGUGCACCAGGCUCCCGACACGCAGAGCAUCUCCCACUUCUUACACCGCGUGCAAGGCUUCCGCCGGCGGGGUGGGAAGGCGGGGGGCUUUGGUGGGCGGGGGGGUGGCCAUGCCGCCAAAGCUGCCCGCUGCUCCUUCAGUGACUUCUUUGAGGGCAUCGGGAAGAAAAAGAAGGUGGUGGCAGCCCCCGGGGUAGGGGCUAUGGGCCAUGCCGAGCUAGGCCACCCCCGCAAGAGGGGCCGGGUAGAAGUGGACGCGGGAGGGAAGCCCAAGAGGAAAAGGCGAGCACGCAAGAAUGGGACGCUGUUCCCAGAACAGACCCCUGGGGGUCAAAACUUUGGGGACGGGGGUGCUGAGUGGACCGGGGAGAAGGGCAACACCUGGGCUCCCCACCACGGACACCCCGGGGGCCAGGCUGGGCGAAACUGUAGUUACCAGGGGGCCGAAGCCCGGGCCUUUGCACCGUCCGGCCUAGAGAGCGGUGCCUCUGGCCGGGGCGGCUACUACGGGACGGGUACACCCUCGGCCCAGGCAGAGCUCAGCCAGGAACGCCACAGCCUCUUCACGGGCUAUUUCCGUUCUCUGCUGGACUCAGAUGACUCCUCAGACCUGCUGGACUUUGCCCUUUCGGCUUCUCGGCCCGAGUCACGCAAGUCGUCAGGCACCUAUACGGGGCCCCCCACCAGUGCCCUGCCUGCUCAAGGCAGGGGCCUGGCUGCCUUCCCUAGCCGGGGGGCCAAGGCCAACCCAGCAGUUGGUGGGGGUGGGACCGGGACAGAACCGUCCUUCCAGCCAGUCCUGCCUGCCCGCCAGGCUUUCCCUCCAGGGAGGGCAGCAGCGGGCUAUGGGGUGACCCCAGCUACGUCAGACUGUCGGGCCACAGAGGCCUUUCCAAAGUUGGCGCCACCCUCAGCUGUGGCUCGCUCACCCACUGCCCACCCACCAGCGGGCACCUACCCCCAGUACAGCAGUUAUGGGGCGGGCCAAGGAGUGUUCCCACCAGGGAAGCCCUUUUCGGGGCAAGACUGUGCCAACAGCAAGGACUGCAGCUUUGCCUAUGGCAGCGGUAGCAGUCUGCCAGCCUCACCCAGUAGCGCCCACAGCGCUGGCUAUGCCCAGCCCACAGCAGGCCCCUGCCUGCCCUUGGGCAAAGCCUCCUUCUUUAACAGCUCCGAGGCGGCUCCUUUCUCCGGCUCGGCCCCCACGCCACUCCGCUGUGACAGCCGGGCCAGCACUGUCUCGCCUGGGGGGUACAUGGUGCCCAAGAGCACCGCCACCCCCGCUGCCUCCUCCUUCCAGCCCUCACCCGAGAAUUGUCGGCAGUUCGCGGGAGGGUCACAGUGGCCUUUCCGGCAGGGCUACGGAGGCCUGGAUUGGACCUCGGAGGCCUUCAGCCAGCUCUAUAACCCCGGCUUCGACUGUCACAUCAACGAGCCCAACGUGAUCCUGGACAUCUCCAACUACACCCCACAGAAGGCCAAGCAGCAGACCACUGUGUCUGAGACCUUCUCCGAGUCAUCCUCCGACAGCACCCAGUUCAACCAGCCCACAGGUGGCUACCGACGGGCCAGCAGCGAGGCCUCCUCCAGUGAGGGCCAGUCCAGCCUCUCGAGCCUGGAGAAGCUGAUGAUGGAUUGGAACGAGGCGUCGUCUGCCCCCGGCUACAACUGGAACCAGACCGUCCUUUUCCAGAGUAGCUCCAAGCCUGGCCGUGGCCGGCGGAAGAAGGUGGACCUGUUCGAGGUCUCUCACUUGGGUUUUUCCUCUUCGUCCUCUUCGUCCCCGGCCACAGCCUCCUCAGCCUAUCCUUCCAAGCGGAGCGCUGGACCAAGGCAGCCCCGGGGUGCCCGGGGCGGGGGGGCCUGCUCGGGGAAGAAGGAGCGGGGGAGCGGGGCUAAGGCCAAGUUCAUCCCCAAGCCACAGCCGGUCAACCCCCUGUUCCAGGACAGCCCAGACCUGGGCUUGGACUACUAUAGUGGAGACAGUAGUAUGUCGCCUUUGCCCUCACAGUCUCGGGCCUUCGGGGUGGGUGAGAGGGAUCAGUGUGACUACAUUGGGCCCUACUCUAUGAACCCAUCCACACCAUCGGAUGGCACCUUUGGGCAAGGGUUCCAUUGCGACUCGCCCAGCCUGGGCCCUCCCCCGGACUUGGACAGCAAACAUUUCCCCGGCCUCGCCCACCCCCUGGGCACGCCGGGCCCACAGACAGUGUUUGAUUCAGGCCUCCAGAAGGCCUAUUCCCCCAACUGCUCGCCGACGCUGGCCUUCAAAGAGGACCUGCGGCCGGCCAAGCUGCCUGCCUGUGAGCCGCUUAAGCAUGGCCUUCAGGGCACUGGUCUUGGCCACGCCCCCCACCUGAGCUGCCGGGACCUGCCCCUUGGCCAGACCCAUUACGACUCACCCAGCUGCAAAGGCGCCAGCUAUUGGUACCCACCGGGCUCGACUGCGCGCAGCCCACCGUACGAGGGCAAGGCUGGGUCAGGGCUGCUGGCUGACUUCCUGGGCAGGACGGAGGCCUCCUGCCUCAAUGCCCCGCACCUCACCAGCCCCCCAGCCACGCCCAAGGGGGACAAGGAACCACUGGAGAUGGUGCGGCCACCUGGUCCCCCCCGAGGUGGCUAUGGCUGCCCACUCCUAAGUGACUUGACCCUGUCACCUGUGCCGAGGGACUCCAUGCUGCAGUUACAGGACACAUACAGGUACCCCGGCUUUGUGCCGCAGGGCCACCCUGGCCUGGGGGGGGCCCCGAAGAGCAGCUUCCUGGGGCCUAUGGGGGAGCCACACCCUGAGGACACUUUCACCGUCACCUCCCUGUAGUGCCAACUGAAGUGCCAACUGGACAAUGAGGUUUUCUAACAGGCUUUCAGAAACCAACGCCAAGAUCCCUCCCAUCGUCCCCCACCUCCCGCAGGAGCAACUCACCUCCUCUGCCUCCCCUCCCAACUGCUCCCCACCCUGGAACCCCAAAGCCCACUCCUCCUUUUCCAUCGCCUACCCUGGACCCUGGGAACCCCUCCCCCUCCCACACACACCCCCCUCCACGCAGAAGCGGAAGGUGAGCUCUUUCUGCACAAAACCAGCAAUUGUAAAUACUUUUUAAAAAUGUACAAAACAAAACAGAACACAGUUUUAGACAAAAAAAAGACAAAAAAAAGAGCGAGCGAGAGAUUGUGAGCGAGCGAGAGAUUGCGAGCGAGAGAGGCCGUGCCCGAGCAGCUCCUCCAGUAUGCACUGAGAAAUUUAUUUACAGGUCGUUAGAGAGAAAGGAACAAUACCCUAUUUAUUGUAUAUACUGUUUUAUUAUAAAUUGUGGAUUGCAUAUUGCACCCUGUACAUCUGCUGUGGUUCCGUGGUGUGCAAAUACGCAUGGUGGGGGGUGGGGGGACAGUUCUCUAGGGACAGCUUUUCUUUCUGGUUUUUUCACUCCUUUUGGGUUGUUUUCUUUUUUCUGUUGUUGUUGUUGUUUUCUGUUGGCAGGACACACCCAAAGAUCCAAAUUUGUAUUAAAAAAAAUUAAAUGGAAAAAGCAAAAAAAAAAG
This is a long non-coding RNA of Vombatus ursinus (common wombat), 5519 nucleotides long. Lineage: Eukaryota; Metazoa; Chordata; Mammalia; Diprotodontia; Vombatidae. The record is from Ensembl.